GCGCCCAUAGCUUAAUGGAUAGAGCAUCUGACUACGGAUCAGAAGGUUGGGGGUUCAAGUCCCUCUGGGCGCGCCA
RNAcentral lists this transfer RNA (76 nucleotides) under Propionibacteriaceae bacterium. RNAcentral describes it as "tRNA-Arg". It matches the Rfam family "tRNA". From Rfam's summary of the family: Transfer RNA (tRNA) molecules are approximately 80 nucleotides in length. Their secondary structure includes four short double-helical elements and three loops (D, anti-codon, and T loops). The record is from RNAcentral. Lineage: Bacteria; Bacillati; Actinomycetota; Actinomycetes; Propionibacteriales; Propionibacteriaceae.